Long non-coding RNA from Ctenopharyngodon idella (grass carp), 3995 nucleotides. RefSeq lists it as uncharacterized. The transcript is spliced from 2 exons. The record is from RefSeq and is a predicted model, not a curated record. Lineage: Eukaryota; Metazoa; Chordata; Actinopteri; Cypriniformes; Xenocyprididae.
GUUAGGACACCCUAUUGAAUUCCAUGGUUUUCCGUAUCAGGACAUAAUAAAAAAUCAUCUGGUCCUUGGCAGAUUUUACAAUUUGGAAAAAUUUGGCCCAUUCUUCUUUACAAUGUUGCUCCAGUUUAUUGAGGUUUGUGGGCAUUUGUCUAUGCACAGCUCUCGCCACAGUGUUUCAGUCGGGAUGAGGUCUGGACUUUGACUGGGCCAUUGCAACACCUUGAUUAUUUUCUUUUUCAGCCAUUCUGUUGUAGAUUUGCUGAUCACCUUGAGAUCAUUGUCCAGUUGCAUGACCCACUUUAGCUUUUGGACAGAUGGCCUCACAUUUGACUCUAAAAUACUUUGGUUUACAGAGGAGUUCAUGGUCGACUCAAUGACUGUAGAUGUCCAAGGCCAAAAUCAUCACCCCUUCACCAGGAUGCUUUACUUUUGGUAUGAGGUGUUUGUUCUGAUAUGCUGUGUUUAGUUUUCACCAAACUUGGCGCUGUGCAUUAUGGCCAAACAUCUUCACUUUGGUCUCGUCUGUCCAAAGGACUUUGUUCCAGAAGUCUUGUGGUUUGUUCAGAUGCAACUUUGCAAACCUAAGCCAUGCUGCCAAUUUUUUUUUUUUUUUUUUUUUUUUUUUUGAAGAGAAGAGGCUUUCUCCUGGCAACCCUUCCAAACAUGCCAUACUAUCCCAUCUUUUUCUAACUGUACUGUCAUAGACUUUAUCAUUUAACAUGUUAACUAAGGUCUGUAGAGUCUGAGGUGUAGUUCUUGGGUUGUCUGCAAUUUCUCUGAGCAUUACACGGUCUGAUCUUGGCGUGAAUUUUCUGGGACGUCCACUCCUGGGAAGAUUGGUGUCUGUUCUGAAUGUCUUCCACUUGUGAAAUUGUUUGGAAAUGGCUGUAUAACCCUUCCCAGAUUGAUGGCAGCAACAAUUGCUUCUCUAAGCUCAUUACUGAUGUCUUUCCUCCUUGGCAUUGUGUUAACACACACCUGAAGGCUCUAGAUUAGCAAACUACCAAAACUUCUGCUCACACUUGCUGAUGAUCAGUUAAUCAAAGGCAUUUGAUUAGCAGUACCUGACCGUUACUUACCCACUUAAUUCCUAAGGAAACAAUAAGGGUGUCCUUAGUUUGUCACCCAUGGCUUUUCCAUUUUGGCCUAGUUUUUGUUAAAUAAAUAAUGACUUGGUGUGAUAUGUCAUGUGUUGUUGUUCAUCUGAGGUUUUAUAUUCCAAAUUUUAAGACCUGCUAAGGACCAGAUGAUUUUUUAUUACGUCCUGAUAUGGAAAACCAUGGAAUUCAAUAGGGUGUCCCAACUUUUUCACAUGACUGUAUGUUCCAGUAGGUGAAAGAUUAAAUGGGUUCACUCCUCCCGAAAUUACGUUUAGGAACUUCACUUGAAGCAAUAUACUGAGUUAAAUACAAGUUAUAUACCCCAUGCACCAAUGCACUCAAAAUGUGUUUGUUUUUUUUUUGUUUUUUUCUCCGUAUGUGUUAACUUUGUGGUCAUAGAUAACAAAUAGUUGAACAAAAGUUGACAAAAUUAUCUUUUAGAAGAUUCAUUCAAAACAUUCAAAAAUUACAAUCUCUACUGAGAAAGUGGUCUAAAAAUAUUAAUGACUCAUCUUGCAUUAAUGGGCGUGUCCAGACUAUACCAAUCAUAUCCUUUCUAGAAUGAGAAUGUCCCUCCCCCCUGUUUUGCCUUUGAUUAUCAACAACAAGCAACAAAUCUUUGUUAAUGACUGAUAAACUAAAACCUAUUGGGUAUCUAAACAGGCAUAAGUCCUUUGUUCUGCCCCAACAAAACUGUGUCCAAUCAAACUCUCUUGGUGCAAAUUCAUUUGGCAACUUAGAGGAUUGCAUGAAUUUUAUUUUACAUAAAUAAGUCAGCAUGGUAAUUAGGCUUAAGCUGCAUGUAAAAGAAUUUUACUUAUUUAUUUGAUAAAUAGACUUAAUGAGAAACUUUGAUAUGCAUUUCUAAUUGCCACAGAGCAGAGCUGUGAAAUAUAUUUUGAGGAAAGUUUUGAGAAGAUUAGUAGGCUCUCUACUGAAUGUGUUCAUGCAAUACAGUUUAGUUGCUCUUGUGGCAAAAAAUAUGUAUGGAGAUGGAUUAUUGUAAACCUUAAAAUGGAAACCCGUGGUUUCUGAGAUGAAGCACUCAUGGCCACAGUUUAGACCACUGUUAACUGUGUUUUGGAGAUGACUUGGCCUUGACUUGGCAGAAGAUGUUUUCACCCUCAUUACAUUUUAGACCCAGAUACUGAGAAUCCACUGUGCCAAGUAAUAGUGUUUAGAAAGCGAAUUUUGAUCAAAUGUUACAGCUCUGGCCACAGCUGAAAUGAUGUGAUUCAUAAAACCCUUGGUAGGUUAUUUUACUGCUUUCAUUAACAUGUGAAAUCACACUGUAAAUCACAAGGUUUUAUGAAAAUUUUAUGUUUGUUUAGCAUUUCAUUCCCCAUUGGCUGCAUGUCAUAAUAUCUGAAAUCAUGUGGAACAGCUCCAUGAGCCGCAGUGGAUUGGAUGCAAGAUUAAACCUCAAGGACUUCUGGACUAUCUCAUUUUUUAAAAGGCACACUUGAGCAAUGAGGAUGGUGUGACAGUUGACAGCCUCACAAUGCGAUGGACAUCAUUUACAGUAAUCCAGGGAAAUUUUUGAAUGCAGUCACAAGUCAUUUUGACAGCUCUAGGUAAGGAACAAUGGCGCAGCACCGGAUGUAAAUAUGCACCCUGAGGAAAAAUGCGGAAGUGAUCAUGCAUAGAGUUCAUUCAGAGAGAAAUAAAAUGCACGUAAAUUUAAAGGCAAAGCACAAUUCACAAGCGCAUUUUGAACCGUGGAUGUCAUACCGAAUGGUUCAAUAUUAAAUUGAGAAUUGUAUCCCUAGCAUAAGCUACAAUGCAUAACAUGACUUUGCCUCAACAUAUCAGGUGAUUGGAUAACUGAACUAACCAGUGGACCAAUCUCAUUGCACACCAUCUAAAAAUAUAGUUUUAGUCAUUUUGAAAUGCCUAAGCCAAAGUCUGUCAUCAAAAUGAUUUGGAAUCAUCAAAUGAAUCAAGAGUUCUAGAGAAUGAUUUUUUUGUUCUUAUUCAUUUUAAUUUUGAUAUUCUCAUGAUAGCUGUAUGAGAUGUGUAAAUAAAACUGUACCUACUGCAGGGUCAUGAAGAUCAAUAACCCACCUGUAUCCACUAACACAUAUACAUGCCAUUUGUAACUCUUAGGCCCGGUUUCACGGACAGGGCUUAGACUAAGCCAGGAUUAGGCCUUAGUUUAAUUAGGGCAUUUACGUAUCUUUUAUAAACGAACCCUAGAAAAAAACAUUACUGGUGUGCAUCUUGAGACAAAACAAUGACACUGACAUAUUUUAAGAUAUGUCAGAGCAAGUUGCUUUUAGUUAAAAAAGCUCAAACAUGCAUUUUAGUCUAGGACUAGCUUAAGCCUUGUCUGUGAAACCGGGGGUUAGGGUUUACAGCACCAUUGGUCACUAUCCUGUAUGUUAAAAUGUGACAAUGAAUCAUAAGUAGAAGCUUAUAUCAGCUCAUGUUGCACUGUGUGAAUGCAUUGUUCUGUCCUAGUGAUUUGACUCAACCUUGAAGGAAAAGGAUAUCGCCUAUGUUUGUCUUUGCAGGGGCUGUUUAGGAAUGUGGUAGACAUAUGACAUUGCCAAAGGAACUUUUCUCCUGAAAAAUUCGUCAGCCUUCCAGAUGAGAAGUGUCCUCGCAGAAUGUAUGACUCACCUCUAGUUGCUUACGAAUGAGAACUGAGUGUGUCACAGAUAUUGUCUUUAACCACAUUUGCGUAAAGAACUGAACACCAAGUUUAGACGUUGCUAGAAUUAUCUGUACUGUUAAGCUAUCAGAGCCUGUAGAAAUGACGUCAACUUUUCUUCCAUAUGCCUAUAAGUCCUGAUUAUUGUGUGUCCUAGUGUUAGUUUCCGGCUGGAUCCAUUUACUCAUUUUCUAUGGCCUUUUUUAUGCCCUAUAAACUCUGUCAACUAAUUGAACUUCAAA